Molecule: transfer RNA, 75 nt
Filed under: Gammaproteobacteria bacterium
Lineage: Bacteria; Pseudomonadati; Pseudomonadota; Gammaproteobacteria
Description: tRNA-Asn
Rfam family: tRNA
About the family: Transfer RNA (tRNA) molecules are approximately 80 nucleotides in length. Their secondary structure includes four short double-helical elements and three loops (D, anti-codon, and T loops).
Source: RNAcentral
UCCUGGGUGCACCAUUGGUAGGUGGCCUGCCUGUUAAGCAGUUGUAUGCUGGUUCAAGUCCAGCCCCGGGAGCCA